UUAGUCCUACGGGAGGCAGCAGUGAGGAAUAUUGGUCAAUGGACGCAAGUCUGAACCAGCCAUGCCGCGUGCAGGAUGACGGCUCUAUGAGUUGUAAACUGCUUUUGUACGAGGGUAAACCCCGAUACGUGUAUCGGGUUGAAAGUAUCGUACGAAUAAGGAUCGGCUAACUCCGUGCCAGCAGCCGCGGUAAUACGGAGGAUCCGAGCGUUAUCCGGAUUUAUUGGGUUUAAAGGGUGCGUAGGCGGUAUUUUAAGUUAGUGGUAAAACGUCGGGGCUUCACCUUGAUUGGCCAUUAAAACUGG
RNAcentral lists this ribosomal RNA (305 nucleotides) under uncultured bacterium. RNAcentral's name for it is "bacterial SSU rRNA". It matches the Rfam family "Bacterial small subunit ribosomal RNA", at positions 333 to 636 of the family's 1533-position model. The record is from RNAcentral.